This 292-nucleotide long non-coding RNA is filed under the name Elaeis guineensis (African oil palm). Its description in RNAcentral is "long non-coding RNA (EGUI_LNC065854)". Lineage: Eukaryota; Viridiplantae; Streptophyta; Magnoliopsida; Arecales; Arecaceae. The record is from RNAcentral.
GUUCAGAUCCCGUUGGAUCUGCAUGAAAGAGUUGGCGUUGUGAUCUCCUUCUUUGAUAUCUAGAAGAAGAGAUCUAGAUCCAAGGAUGAGGAGUGAGAUCUGCAAGGUGCUAGUAUGCCAAUGAUCUUGAUACUUCAAUCAGAUAUCUCCAUAUGGAUACCAGCAGAGGUCAGGUGCAUGCGCUGCUACGAUCAGAAUCUGAGACAUCCAUAGGAUUCGAGAUAUGGAGAUCUGAUCUCCAACUUAUUUUUGCUAACGAUUACUUUUUUCUCAAAUUUUAGAUCAUGGUUGA